CUCCAUCCAGAGGAUAAUUGAAAUGCAAGUCAAGCUCUUAUCCACAGGCAACACCAAGGGAGGGGAUCCCCCCCGCCACCGCCCCAGUCACACCAUUUCAAUGUCUUACCGGUGGGUAGGAUUAAGAAAGUUAACCUAAGGGAUGCCUGUGUCUUUCAUGGGACCACUUACCCAGCACCGGGAGAGGUGAGUUCACUGCACUGCUCCCCUUUUGCAAUGGUUAUAGUUUGCUCUCUAACAAUUUCAAUAUGGCAUUUCCAAAAAAGUUUGAAAAUACCACUCAACAUAGUCUUAUCACUCUUCUCUUUUAAAACUUUUUUCCUUU
Molecule: long non-coding RNA, 325 nt
Filed under: Sus scrofa (pig)
Lineage: Eukaryota; Metazoa; Chordata; Mammalia; Artiodactyla; Suidae
Description: lncRNA (ENSSSCG00065051115.1)
Source: RNAcentral